Molecule: ribosomal RNA, 450 nt
Filed under: uncultured bacterium
Lineage: Bacteria
Description: partial 16S ribosomal RNA
Rfam family: Bacterial small subunit ribosomal RNA
Source: RNAcentral
CCUACGGGCGGCAGCAGUGGGGAAUUUUGGACAAUGGGAGCAACCCUGAUCCAGCCAUGCCGCGUGCGGGAAGAAGGCCUUCGGGUUGUAAACCGCUUUUGUCAGGGAAGAAAUCUUCCGAGCUAAUACCUUGGGAGGAUGACGGUACCUGAAGAAUAAGCACCGGCUAACUACGUGCCAGCAGCCGCGGUAAUACGUAGGGUGCAAGCGUUAAUCGGAAUUAGCGGGCGCGAAGCUGGCGGACGGGGUUGAAAUCCCCGGGCUUAACCUGGGAACUGCACUUGUGGCUGUACGGCUGGAGUACGGCAGAGGGGGAUGGAAUUCCGCGUGUAGCAGUGAAAUGCGUAGAUAUGCGGAGGAACACCGAUGGCGAAGGCAGUCCCCUGGGCCUGUACUGACGCUCAUGCACGAAAGCGUGGGGAGCAAACAGGAUUAGAUACCCGAGUAGUC